RNAcentral lists this ribosomal RNA (22 nucleotides) under Symmetrospora oryzicola. Its description in RNAcentral is "partial 26S rRNA". Lineage: Eukaryota; Fungi; Basidiomycota; Cystobasidiomycetes; Symmetrosporaceae. The record is from RNAcentral.
UUAGACCUCAAAUCAGUCAGGA